This 247-nucleotide ribosomal RNA is filed under the name uncultured bacterium. Its description in RNAcentral is "partial 16S ribosomal RNA". It matches the Rfam family "Bacterial small subunit ribosomal RNA", at positions 57 to 305 of the family's 1533-position model. The record is from RNAcentral.
GCAAGUCGAACGGACUAGUUUACUAGUUAGUGGCGAACGGGUGAGGAACAAGUAGGUAAUCUACCCUAGACACGAGGAUAACACCGGGAAACUGGAGCUAAUACUGGAUAGGAUAUAACGUCAUAAUACGAUAUAUUUAAAGUAGCUUUCGGGCUACGGUGUAGGAAGGACCUGCGUCGCAUUAGAUAGUUGGUGAGGGUAACGGCCCACCAAGUCAACGAUGCGUAGCUGGGCUGAGAGGCCGAAC